Ictidomys tridecemlineatus (thirteen-lined ground squirrel) is the source of this 1185-nucleotide non-coding RNA. The record is from RefSeq and is a predicted model, not a curated record. NCBI's taxonomy places the organism in Eukaryota, Metazoa, Chordata, Mammalia, Rodentia, Sciuridae.
CUUUGGAUUCAGCUCAGACCACUGAGGUUUAGAAAAGGUGCUAAAUCUCAGGAAUUCCCCACCCCCAUACUCUCUCAUUAGACAAGGUUUUGAAAGAGCACUCGUACCAGCAGAACUGAAGCGAUGUGAGUGGCAGCCCUGUGCGCUUGUUAUUUGACACAUCUUCCUCCAUGAGAGGCUAAUGCUUCAGCUGUGUCGGGGCUUACCUGAAGCCAUCAGGAGAAGAUCAAAAAUGUAAAACUCUAUGGUAAUGCCCUACGCUGAAAGGAAGUGGAUUUAGAGCUAGAAGAAGACUUACCUCUCACCGUAGUUCGCACAGCAUUCAGAAAUCCAGAAUCUUCUGGUCUUUGAGUACCCCUCUGUCUAUUGGACAGUGGCGCCCAUGGAGAUGGCUCCAUAUCUCUGCUCACCAUUGUGCUCCCAGUGCCUGCCACGUCGACUGACUGCAGAAGAUGCCGGUGAAAAAUAUUUGACAAGACAAGCAAAUUUCCCAAGGGGACAUAACUAGAAAAUGCAGAGCCUGAAUUCAAACCUGUCAGUCUCUCUCGAACCCAGCCUCUAAGCCAGGAUGUUUCUCCCGAGUCUGAGUUGGGAUGGAUAAAACUUUGUGAUGAGUAUUUGAAAGUAGGUCUCAAAGCAGGAGUCCUGAGGAAAAGGUUGUGUUGACACAGCGCCAACCUGGGAACAGAUCCUUGGAACUGGAAAUUGAACAAUGGGGAGCCCUCCCCAGAAAAGAAAGCGCUGAGUCUGACAUGGUGCAGGUUGGUGGUCCACACUGGUGAGGAAACAGCGGCAAUUGACGCCAUGCCCAAGGCUGGCUGGGGGCAGCUGAGACGGCCUCGGGACUGCAGAACAACUCCCUCACCCUCCCAGGCUUUGGAUCUACCUUGAAUGCAAAACGGCUCUCUUCCUAAACACCAGAUUGAGCGCUCUCUCUCUCUCUCUCUCUCUCUCUCUCUCUCUCUCUCUCUCUCUCUCUCUCUCUCUUCUUGCUGGCUGUAAUAGGAGCUGGAGGGGUGCAUCAAAGAAGCAGCAGAGCUGGGGAUCCAUUCUGCAAACUUUAAUUGCUCCAAAGGAGCAGUUAUGGUAUGUAUACAUAAAAGACCCUAAUUAUCUGUUAGCCCAAUAAAACAAGUUUCAAAGGGCCCACAAAGACCAAUUCACCAAAUGUGUAAUCUGUAAUUA